RNAcentral lists this ribosomal RNA (900 nucleotides) under Synergistaceae bacterium enrichment culture clone B31171. RNAcentral describes it as "bacterial SSU rRNA". It matches the Rfam family "Bacterial small subunit ribosomal RNA", at positions 8 to 916 of the family's 1533-position model. RNAcentral also lists the same sequence under 2 other names. Lineage: Bacteria; Thermotogati; Synergistota; Synergistia; Synergistales; Synergistaceae. The record is from RNAcentral.
AGAGUUUGAUCAUGGCUCAGGACGAACGCUGGCGGCGUGCCUAACACAUGCAAGUCGAGCGGUCUCGCCUAUAGCAAAAGGCCUUCGGGCUUCGAGCAAAGGCGAGAUAGCGGCGGACGGGUGAGUAACGCGUGGCUUAUCUGUCCCAGGGAGGGGGAUAACGUCUGGAAACGGGCGCUAAUACCCCAUAUGCCGGUGAGGUAAAAAGGAGAAAUCCGCCCUGGGGUGAGGCCGCGUCCUAUCAGCUAGUUGGUGAGGUAACGGCCCACCAAGGCUAUGACGGGUAGCCGGCCUGAGAGGGCGGCUGGCCACACUGGGAUUGAGAUACGGCCCAGACUCCUACGGGAGGCAGCAGUGGGGAAUAUUGGGCAAUGGGGGAAACCCUGACCCAGCGACGCCGCGUGGAGGAAGGAGCCCUUCGGGGUGUAAACUCCUGUUGUAAGGGAAGAAGACAGUGACGGUACCUUACGAGGAAGCCCCGGCAAACUACGUGCCAGCAGCCGCGGUAACACGUAGGGGGCGAGCGUUGUCCGGAAUCACUGGGCGUAAAGCGCACGCAGGCGGAUGCGCGCGUCGGCUGUGAAAUGCACCGGCUCAACCGGUGCACUGCGGUCGAUACGGCGCGUCUGGAGUGCGGGAGAGGGAAGCGGAAUUCCCGGUGUAGCGGUGAAAUGCGUAGAUAUCGGGAGGAACGCCGGUGGCGAAGGCGGCUUCCUGGCCCGCAACUGACGCUCAUGUGCGAAAGCCAGGGGAGCGAACCGGAUUAGAUACCCGGGUAGUCCUGGCCGUAAACGAUGGACGCUAGGUGUGGGCGGUUUAUCCGUCUGUGCCGAAGUUAACGCGUUAAGCGUCCCGCCUGGGGAGUACGAUCGCAAGGUUGAAACUCAAAUGAAUUGACGG